UACAGAGGUCUCAAGCGUUGUUCGGAUUCAUUGGGCGUAAAGCGUGCGCAGGCGGCUUCUCAAGUCAGUGGUGAAAGCCCGGAGCUCAACUCCGGAAUUGCCAUUGAAACUGUGGAGCUUGAGGACGAGAGAGGUGAGUGGAAUUCCCAGUGUAGAGGUGAAAUUCGUAGAUAUUGGGAAGAACACCGGUGGCGAAGGCGGCUCACUGGCUCGUUUCUGACGCUCAGGCACGAUAGCGUGGGGAUCAAACAGG
Molecule: ribosomal RNA, 253 nt
Filed under: uncultured bacterium
Lineage: Bacteria
Description: partial 16S ribosomal RNA
Rfam family: Bacterial small subunit ribosomal RNA
Source: RNAcentral